Molecule: ribosomal RNA, 468 nt
Filed under: uncultured bacterium
Lineage: Bacteria
Description: partial 16S ribosomal RNA
Rfam family: Bacterial small subunit ribosomal RNA
Source: RNAcentral
GACGAACGCUGGCGGCGUGCUUAACACAUGCAAGUCGAACGGAAAGGCCCUGCUUUUGUGGGGUGCUCGAGUGGCGAACGGGUGAGUAACACGUGAGUAACCUGCCCUUGACUUUGGGAUAACUUCACGAAACUGGGGCUAAUACCGGAUAGGAGCUCCUGCUGCAUGGUGGGGGUUGGAAAGUUUCGGCGGUUGGGGAUGGACUCGCGGCUUAUCAGCUUGUUGGUGGGGUAGUGGCUUACCAAGGCUUUGACGGGUAGCCGGCCUGAGAGGGUGACCGGCCACAUUGGGACUGAGAUACGGACCAGACUCCUACGGGAGGCAGCAGUGGGGAAUAUUGCACAAUGGGCGGAAGCCUGAUGCAGCAACGCCGCGUGCGGGAUGACGGCCUUCGGGUUGUAAACCGCUUUCGCCUGUGACGAAGCGUGAGUGACGGUAAUGGGUAAAGAAGCACCGGCUAACUACGUG